AACAUUAGAUCACCCUUUAGAAGAGCUGUUCAGAUUUAUCAGAAUCAAGGAAGGAAGCUAGAUUCUCUUACUACCGACUUUAAAUUGUAGGUAGCCACAUCUUUUACAUUGCAUAAUGGCAGUUUGAUAUUGAUACUAAGAAGGUUACACUAACAUGUACUGGUUAAAAUAAUCACUGACUGAGAGCUGGGAUUUAGGCAAUUACCAUGGCCCUUUCCUUUCUCCAUAGUAACAGAACCCCCCAUUUUUAAUUAAACUCACAGGCACAUUUAUUGGUUUCCUUUACAACUUGAUGUAACCAUGUCUCUAGGUGCUGACCAAUGGGAAAUGCAGGGAACUGUCAUGCCAUUUCAGUAAACUUUGCUAAAGAAAGCUUAAGAUACCUUUUGUCCCUUUCUUCUCCACCCCUUCUUCCUUUAGUGGCACUUGGAUAGGAUGGCUUGAAUUCCAACCACCAUGUUGGGACCCUGAGGACAAAAUUCUCACUCUAGAGACACCAGAGCACUAAGUGGAAGAGGCCAAGUCCUGAGGACUUUGUGAAGCAGAGUUGCCAGUCAGUCCUCAACUGCCCACCUCCUACAUGUUCACAAAAGAGAAACAAAUGUCUCUCUUAUUCGAGCUACUGUAGUUUGGGUCUUUGUUACAGGAAGCCAAUACCUAUCCUAAUUGAUGUAGGUUCAUAAUAAAGAAACACUCCACUAAGAGCAAAGGAUACAGCAGGGAUUGGCCUGUGCCAGUAGCUUCCCGUAUUAUAGAGGCUUCUGUCCUUUUAACAAACAAACAGAAAGGAUGCCUCCUUCUUUAUAUUUCCUAGGUACCUUCAUAGACUCCCCCUUCCCUCACAAAAGGCCUAAAGCCCUCAAGUCAAGUAUUGGGUACUCAAUUCCCAUCUAUUGCCAAUAAAUUCAAUAAAAUGUUUUUACAUUUUUUUAUUUUUCUCCAUUUCUUCAUUUGUCUCAGUCACUGCUACUUUUACUCGCAAUCGAGUGUCUCAGUCACUCGCUACUUUUACUGCUACUUUUGCUCUAUAAUCUGGUUUGUUAAAAACAGUGAUGAGAGGGGACACCAUUGCCUUGUUCCUGGUCUUCGUGGGAGACAUUAUGCUAUACACUUUCCAUGCAGAUCUCAGAAAAUCUCUGCAAAGACCCUGUGAGAUAAGAACUAUUGUAAUUCUUUUUUUUUUUUUCAUCUAAGGAUACUAAAACCAAGCGAGGUCAUGACCAAGGUUACAUGUUUUAUAAGUGGUUACAGGUGAGAUUUGAACUCUCAUAUUCUGCCUCCACUAUCUGGCUUCUUAGCUACUAUUUCAGGCACUAAGACAACCUGGAAAAAGGAUCAAGAUCCAAGAGAUACUCAGACUUUUCAGCAAGUAAACAGAGCCAUGGAGGUAUUAAAACGAGCAUAUAUUGCAAAAGCUACUCAAUUGACUAACAUUUAGAAUCUAUCUGAAUUAUACCUUAAUAGAUAAAGCUCAGGGGAAUCAGUCUGCUGAAUUCACCAUAUUCCUCUCUUAUAAUUAAUUUAGUCAUACACAUGCUCCUAGAAACGACACUGUUAGCAGUCACACAACAGAAAUUAAUGUGAUGCCACCCUAAACCUCUGAGGUCCCUGUUCUAAAAUGCAAUGGCCUGGGAGCCUGGGUGGCUCAGUUGGUUGAACGACCAACAUCCGCUCAGGUCAUGAUCUCACAGUCUGUGAGUUGGAGCCCCGAACUGUGCUUGCCGCUAUGAGCACAGAGCCUGCUUCAGAUCUUCUGUUCCCCUCUCCUUCUGUCCCUCCCCUGCGCGCGCUCUCAAUCUCAAAAAUAAAUUUUAAAAACCUUAAAAAAUUUUUUAAAUAAAAUGGGCAUUUUUGAAAGUACAAAUACAGAGAGUAACAUCUUCUGAAAUCAGUUAGCAACAAGAGCAAACCUGAUGAGACCAUGCAUAUUGUCACCGCAGGCAACACCCUCUGCUUGUGUUGUAAUGGCUCACCUGUUGUAGUGGGUGGGAGAAGAAACAAAUUGCUCCUCACCCACGUGACCAGAAACAAUCUUCAAGGGAGAUUACAUUUUAGGAAGGGCUUCUCUUCAAGCAAGAAAAGUAGCACUUCUCCUUUCUGUGUGGACUUCGCACUAAAGGAGAUUCACCCAAGUUUGGGCUUAGAUGUCAAGAGCCGGAAGAUAAAUUUUGCUGAAUUCUGAAAGUGCACUCAGUUCACUGAGUGGCUUUUGGUGUGUGUGGGGGGGGGAGGGAUGGUGGAUGGGUGAUAUUCUCUUAUUCUUACACCUGUGUCCCAAAUACAGUGACUGCUGUGAAUAGCAGGAUCCCGAAUGAUCCAGAGGAACUCAGCUGUUCCUCUGGGUGUGAGUGGAAACAGGGGGAGAUGCAGUUCAUUUGCAUAAGGACCACAGGUGUCCUACAGGAGUGACUGAAUGUGGUGAGGCUGAGAGAGGGCUCAACUGUUGGAAUGAAGUCUUCUCUAGCACCCCAGUCCUGCACUCAGAUUCACCCUCAGGGAGAGGCUGUAGGUACUCUAUUCAUUUCCUGUGGCCGCUGUACCAAGUUACCACACACCAGGGGCUUAAAACACCCGUUCUCUUUCAGUUCUGCAGGCUGCAAAUCCAAAGUCACUAUCUCUGGGCGGAAACCAAGGUGUUGGCAGGACCACGAGGGAGGAUCUCAGAGAAAAUCUGCUCUUUGCCACUUGGAGCUUCUGGGGGCCACAGCACUCCUUGGCCUGUGGUCAUGUGACUCCACUCCUCAAGGUCAGCAUCCUCAAACAUCUCUCUCUGCUCUGGCUUCCCAUGGCCUUCUCCUCUGUAUCACUCUUAUUAGGAUACACGGGAUUAUAUUGGGAUUCCACUCUGAUAACCCAGGACAGUCUCCGCAUCUCAAGAGCCUUGAACUAAAUCACAGAUGCAAAGAUUUUGCUGUAUAAAUUAACAUUCACGAGUUCUGGGGAUUAAGACCUGGUAUCUUUGGGGACUACUAUUCAGCCUACUACAGAAACAGAAGCCUGACCGUGGAGUCUGUAGGGAAUACUUUCUUGGCCAGGUCCCCAGAAAUUACUCUAUCUUUCUAAUGAAGGACGGCAGUUAAACAAUGACUCUAAGUACAGUAAUAUAUGUGCAUCUGCUAUUUAAAUACAAUUUGUUAAGGUUGCUAAUAUAGCCAAGGAAAUCAUAGAUUUGUUCAACAUUCAGCUACUUUCCGUCGAGCAGUCAACCCCCAAAUUAUUUGGGUUUUGCCUGGACCAUUAUUUCAAUUUAAUUAAUGCUGUAAAAAGGAAUGUGAGUGUAUUUAUGUGGAAUCAAGUUACAAAAUGUUAAAUUUAGUAUAUGUUUUCUGAGGUGCGGCUCAUUCGUGACUUCUGUUCCUAUAAUCUCGUGUUUGCACAGCUGGUAACCGUAAAUUCGACGUAAAACACCAUUUGAAAAGCCAGCAGACAUUUCACUGACCUUGAGGGUGAAUUUGUCACUGCUUAAUUCUAUGAUGAUCUAUAUUCUGGUCUGUUGCCUUUGCAGGAAGGUAAUGGCUAUGGUGUUACUCACUUGCUGGGGGUCCAAGGUUGGCCCAGCUUGUCACGUCACAAGAUAUGUGAACCACGCCCAGAACUUUUUCCUGAUCUAACCACAGAGAUGAAUACUGACCCAUCCCAUUUGAUUAAGCAAAGGUAUAAUCCUGGCACUGGGGAAGAGGGGGGUGGGGUGGGUGAUGCUCAGAGAGUUCCAAGUUCAGUGGCAGCUAUAGUUAACCUCAGACUCAGAGGUCUCAGGGAUGUGGAGGCAAAGGAUGUUAUUCAUUGAAAGCAGAACACACCCUCUUUCUAACCACCAUCUUCCUAUCAAGGAAGGCUCUAUUGCCCUUCAUUCUAGCCCUUUAUCAGCAGUUGGUUCCUUUCACAUCCUUUUCUAAUGGCCUGGAAAGGGGAUCUUGGUUUCUAAGAGUGGCCCUGAGUACAGUGAGCAAAGCCUUGCGAUGAAAAUGCCUGCCCAAGUUCCUCCUUUUCAGUUUCUAACAGGCUCUGAAUGGCUUGCAAAGGAAAAUGGAUCUUCAGCAGCUGCCUUCAAGGUUACCAACCCCCUCUCCCCUCCAGCCCCUGCCAACCCCACAAAAAGUACAUACUCUCCUUCACGAGGACCUGAGAGGCCGCCAGUCAAUGGCUGACAGAAAUGGAAAAUCGAUUUCAGAUUUAUCUCCGCUGGGAAUUAAGUAUAUUCCUUAGAAAUAAUGAAUUAUGAGGUCAUCGAGGGCUUGUUCUUUUUCCUGCUUGCAGAGACAUUUUAAUUGAAGAAAAAGUGACGAAUGAACAGGACAUUCUAAUUCCAGUGAUGUGCUUUUUCCCAUUUUAAUGUCAGCUGAACCACAAAAAUGUUCAUUUUUCUCUCUUCAUUAUUCCUCAGGGUUCAGGAGGAACACUGUUGCCAAAGGGGAAAAAAACUGGGUAACUCCUGCUCCCUCCACCCAGCUUUCAAAACACUCAGUAAGAUACAGCUCUGGCCUCAGC
This 4488-nucleotide long non-coding RNA is filed under the name Lynx pardinus (Iberian lynx). Lineage: Eukaryota; Metazoa; Chordata; Mammalia; Carnivora; Felidae. The record is from RNAcentral.